RNAcentral lists this small nuclear RNA (23 nucleotides) under Arabidopsis thaliana (thale cress). RNAcentral's name for it is "snRNA_16446". The record is from RNAcentral. Lineage: Eukaryota; Viridiplantae; Streptophyta; Magnoliopsida; Brassicales; Brassicaceae.
UUCACCAACUUUAGCCCAGGGCC